This is a long non-coding RNA of Tarenaya hassleriana, 734 nucleotides long. RefSeq lists it as uncharacterized. Lineage: Eukaryota; Viridiplantae; Streptophyta; Magnoliopsida; Brassicales; Cleomaceae. The transcript has 3 exons. The record is from RefSeq and is a predicted model, not a curated record.
GGAACUCACGUUCUCCCUCGGCCUCUUUAAAUGGUGGUAGAUCCAUUUUCUUGAUUGCAACAACCUCCAGAUGGAAAAAGGAUUAACCAAUUUCCUCCUUUUCCAAGCAGAUUCUCAUCACUGAAGGAACAUGUGGCCUCCUCCAUUUCCUUGAGGGUGAAAACCGAUGAGCCAUGUUUCCGUUUCCUUGUUGGCUGGGGCUCUUGGUCUUCUAUUUUCCAGAACUCUGCUGGUCUAUUCACCCCUGAAAGGUGCAAGAGACCAUCCAAAGCCUGGAAAGAAAAAAAAGAAGAAGCUUCUCGGACUCAGGACAGAAGGGUAUGUCGGGAAAAGCUUCUGAUCGCUGUUAGGACAGAUGGGUAUGUCGAAAGAUCCGAGCUUUGUAGACGGGUACGUAACUUCGUCUAAAGAAACAGAGAAGGUUGUAUGGUAAAGGUGAGAGUUAUAGGAAGUUGUUUCCAGUCUCUUAUCCGUAUGAAUAAGUUUUGAGGUUUGAUUUCUGAAAUACUCAACAGCAGUCUUUCAACUACCGGAGUUUGUAGAGACAGAAAAAGAUGGUCGAGCAGAAAGAUUGUUAAGAUCAUAUGUACAUGAAGUGAAGCAAAAGACAACGAGACAACAAUACUUCGAUGUUUAACUUACAUGUCUUUUUUUUUUGUUUCAAAUUUUGAGCAAGACUUGAAUUUUGAUGGUUAACUCUUAUGGUUAUAUUAUAAGGUUUCAAUUUUCUGGUU